This 517-nucleotide ribosomal RNA is filed under the name uncultured Bacteroidia bacterium. RNAcentral's name for it is "bacterial SSU rRNA". It matches the Rfam family "Bacterial small subunit ribosomal RNA", at positions 9 to 524 of the family's 1533-position model. Lineage: Bacteria; Pseudomonadati; Bacteroidota; Bacteroidia. The record is from RNAcentral.
GAGUUUGAUCUUGGCUCAGGAUUAACGCUAGCGGCAGGCCUAAUACAUGCAAGUCGAGGGGUAACAGGGUAGCAAUACCGCUGACGACCGGCGCACGGGUGCGUAACACGUAUGCAACCUACCUAUAACUGGGGAAUAGCUCUCCGAAAGGAGAAUUAACACCGCAUAACAUCACGAGACGGCAUCGUUUUGUGAUCAAACCUCCGGGGGUUAUAGAUGGGCAUGCGUAACAUUAGCUAGUUGGUGAGGUAACGGCUCACCAAGGCGACGAUGUUUAGGGGGUCUGAGAGGAUGAUCCCCCACACUGGUACUGAGACACGGACCAGACUCCUACGGGAGGCAGCAGUAAGGAAUAUUGGACAAUGGGGGCAACCCUGAUCCAGCCAUGCGCGUGAAGGAUGAAGGCGCUCUGCGUCGUAAACUUCUUUUAGCCGGGAAAAAUUGUUGGGUUUCUACCUGACUUGAUUGUACCGGAAGAAUAAGGAUCGGCUAACUUCGUGCCAGCCGCCGCCGUAAC